This 402-nucleotide ribosomal RNA is filed under the name uncultured prokaryote. RNAcentral describes it as "bacterial SSU rRNA". It matches the Rfam family "Bacterial small subunit ribosomal RNA", at positions 355 to 774 of the family's 1533-position model. The record is from RNAcentral.
UAGGGAAUAUUAGAAAUGGACGAAAGUCUGACCUAGCAACACCGCGUGUGCGAAGAAGGCCUUCGGGUCGUAAAGCACUUUUUGGAAGGAAUAGGAAGGAAUGUACUUCCAGAAUAAGUCUCGGCUAACUACGUGCCAGCAGCCGCGGUAACACGUAGGAGGCAAACGUUAUCCGGAUUUACUGGGCGUAAAGCGCGUGUAGGUGGUACUGUAAGUAGGGCGUGAAAGCUCCUGGCUCAACUGGGAGAGGCCGUUCUAAACUACAGAACUAGAGGAUGGUAGAGGUAGGUGGAAUUCCAGGUGUAGCGGUGGAAUGCGCAGAUAUCUGGAGGAACACCAGUGGCGAAGGCGGCCUCCUGGACCAGUCCUGACACUCAGACGCGAAAGCUAGGGUAGCAAACU